GACGAACGCUGGCGGCGUGCUUAACACAUGCAAGUCGAACGGAAAGGCCCUGCUUUUGUGGGGUGCUCGAGUGGCGAACGGGUGAGUAACACGUGAGUAACCUGCCCUUGACUUUGGGAUAACUUCAGGAAACUGGGGCUAAUACCGGAUAGGAGCUCCUGCUGCAUGGUGGGGGUUGGAAAGUUUCGGCGGUUGGGGAUGGACUCGCGGCUUAUCAGCUUGUUGGUGGGGUAGUGGCUUACCAAGGCUUUGACGGGUAGCCGGCCUGAGAGGGUGACCGGCAGUGGCGGUGAGGAUGGGCAGCUCAGUCUCUGGCGGGAGGAGUGGGUGGGAAUUGUGGCACGAGGGGGGGUCGCCUGUUGAUGCAGCGCGGGGGGUGGGUGGAGUGUGGUCUGGUUGAACCCGGCGUUGUCAGGUAAGGAGGGGUGGGAGAGGGAAAGGGUAAACGAAGCACAGAACACCUACGGGUCAGCAGCUGUGGUAAGAGAUCGACGAGAACACGGCAAAAC
RNAcentral lists this ribosomal RNA (509 nucleotides) under uncultured bacterium. RNAcentral's name for it is "partial 16S ribosomal RNA". The stretch from base 15 to 371 matches the Rfam family "Bacterial small subunit ribosomal RNA", at positions 42 to 397 of the family's 1533-position model. The record is from RNAcentral.